This is a long non-coding RNA of Ornithorhynchus anatinus (platypus), 241 nucleotides long. RefSeq lists it as uncharacterized. The record is from RefSeq and is a predicted model, not a curated record. Lineage: Eukaryota; Metazoa; Chordata; Mammalia; Monotremata; Ornithorhynchidae. The transcript has 2 exons.
UACAGUACGACAGAGCUGGUAAAUGUGUUUCCUGCCCUCAAGGAGUUCAGAGUCUCAAAACCUCCGAGAUGAGCACAGGGAUGAGAGACUUUCCAUUUCAGCCACGGAGCCCCAAGCCGACCAAAGGAAAGCCUCAGAUGGAAGUAUUCGGGGAACUCGAAACUCUCCUCGUUGCAAGGAUUUUGGAGAGGCUGUGGAAGUGUUUCCUCUUACGCUAAUGAAAUAUUACAAUUAUACCGUG